GGGUGGUUGCUCAUGAAUCAUGAAGGACAUGAAUGGGAGAGAAGGCCCACAGGAGACCCCUUAAUGUAAGUGCAGUAGGUUGUGGAUACAAGGCUUGGAUUUCUCCUAUUUGGGCAUUCCCCAGGAUUGUAUGAAAGAUGCAAGAACUCACUGCCCCCCAACGUUGGUGUGGCUGACAAGAAAGAGAAGAUGCAGCCAGCCACGGCGCUUGAGAAAGCAGGAAUAAGAAGUGUUGGAAGAAGACCUAAUCAACAUUUCAAGGUGAGGGGAUAGAAGACCAGAUAAUUGAUAGAA
This 294-nucleotide long non-coding RNA is filed under the name Ictidomys tridecemlineatus (thirteen-lined ground squirrel). Its description in RNAcentral is "lncRNA (ENSSTOG00000033829.1)". Lineage: Eukaryota; Metazoa; Chordata; Mammalia; Rodentia; Sciuridae. The record is from RNAcentral.